CACGUAGGGGGCGAGCGUUGUCCGAUUUAUGGCGUAAAGAGCUCGUAGGCGGUUUCGUUAAGUCGGGAUGUGAAAACUCCAGGCUCAACCUGGAGACGCCACCCGAUACUGCUGUGACUUGAGUCCGGGUAGGGGACCACGGAAUUCCUGGUGUAGCGGUGAAAUGACGCAGAUAUCAGGAGGAACACCAAUGGCGAAGGCAGCACCUCUGGGACGUGACUGACGCUGAAGACG
RNAcentral lists this ribosomal RNA (234 nucleotides) under uncultured bacterium. RNAcentral's name for it is "partial 16S ribosomal RNA". It matches the Rfam family "Bacterial small subunit ribosomal RNA", at positions 524 to 755 of the family's 1533-position model. The record is from RNAcentral.